This 296-nucleotide ribosomal RNA is filed under the name Salmonella enterica subsp. enterica serovar Infantis. Its description in RNAcentral is "partial 23S ribosomal RNA". It matches the Rfam family "Bacterial large subunit ribosomal RNA", at positions 1134 to 1347 of the family's 2925-position model. The record is from RNAcentral. Lineage: Bacteria; Pseudomonadati; Pseudomonadota; Gammaproteobacteria; Enterobacterales; Enterobacteriaceae. RNAcentral also lists the same sequence under 19 other names.
GUAAUAGCUCACUGGUCGAGUCGGCCUGCGCGGAAGAUGUAACGGGGCUAAACCAUGCACCGAAGCUGCGGCAGCGAACGUAUCACUUAAAGCGAUUCAGCGGGUUACGAUUGACGGAGCGAAGCGACGUCAAAGCGUAUACAAAGUCGAGUCGGUUUAAGGAUACGUUCGUUGGGUAGGGGAGCGUUCUGUAAGCCUGUGAAGGUGUGUCGUGAGGCAUGCUGGAGGUAUCAGAAGUGCGAAUGCUGACAUAAGUAACGAUAAAGCGGGUGAAAAGCCCGCUCGCCGGAAGACCA